AUGGACUUUGCGACACUGCAGGAGGUCCUACCAUGCAUCGAUAAUGACAUAAACCAUGAGCAACUAACAAAGGUACUUCUAUACAAAGCUUAUCCAGGAUGCCAGCAAAGUCCUAUUGCAACCGAUGCGGCAAACCAUUGGCAAUUUGCCGAGCGGGCUUACGAGUUAAAACUUCUAAAAGUGGUUGCAUUUGAUCAACCUUCCUCACAGGUUAUGGUUUACUUGGAUCUAAAGCGUGAGGAGUGCUCCAGACUCUUCCCGUCAGGAUGGAUAUUCUCGCACUCAUUCUUUCUUGCAGGGCAGGAAUUCCGUGUUGUGGCAGGUCGUGUGCUGGGUGAGGAAAGUAACUUUUAUAGCUUUGGCCUCUACCACUAG
Molecule: ribosomal RNA, 375 nt
Filed under: Triticum aestivum (bread wheat)
Lineage: Eukaryota; Viridiplantae; Streptophyta; Magnoliopsida; Poales; Poaceae
Description: partial small subunit ribosomal RNA
Source: RNAcentral